RNAcentral lists this ribosomal RNA (223 nucleotides) under uncultured bacterium. RNAcentral describes it as "partial 16S ribosomal RNA". It matches the Rfam family "Bacterial small subunit ribosomal RNA", at positions 1278 to 1500 of the family's 1533-position model. The record is from RNAcentral.
AAAACCUCUCUCAGUUCGGACUGGAGUCUGCAACCCGACUCCACGAAGCUGGAUUCGCUAGUAAUCGCGCAUCAGCCACGGCGCGGUGAAUACGUUCCCGGGCCUUGUACACACCGCCCGUCACACCAUGGGAGUCGGUAACACCGAAGUCGGUAGCCUAACCGUAAGGAGGGCGCCGCCGAAGGUGGGAUUGAUGACUGGGGUGAAGUCGUAACAAGGUAAC